Molecule: ribosomal RNA, 253 nt
Filed under: uncultured bacterium
Lineage: Bacteria
Description: partial 16S ribosomal RNA
Rfam family: Bacterial small subunit ribosomal RNA
Source: RNAcentral
UACGUAGGGUGCGAGCGUUGUCCGGAAUUAUUGGGCGUAAAGAGCUUGUAGGCGGUUUGUCGCGUCUGCCGUGAAAAUCCGGGGCUCAACCCCGGACUUGCGGUGGGUACGGGCAGACUAGAGUGUGGUAGGGGAGACUGGAAUUCCUGGUGUAGCGGUGAAAUUCGUAGAUAUCUGGAGGAACACCGGUGGCGAAGGCGGCAUCCUGGACCGGUAUUGACGCUGAGGCGCGAAAGCUAGGGGAGCAAACGGG